UUCGUGUCUUUGAGACGUGAGUAACGCAGCUAACGCACUAAGUUGACCGCCUGGGGAGUACGGCCGCAAGGUUAAAACUCAAAUGAAUUGACGGGGGCCCGCACAAGCGGUGGAGCAUGUGGUUUAAUUCGAUGCAACGCGAAGAACCUUACCAUCCCUUGACAUCCAGAGAAUUUUCUAGAGAUAGAUUAGUGCCUUCGGGAACUCUGAGACAGGUGCUGCAUGGCUGUCGUCAGCUCGUGUUGUGAGAUGUUGGGUUAAGUCCCGCAACGAGCGCAACCCUUAUCCUUAGUUGCCAGCACUAAGGUGGGAACUCUAGGGAGACUGCCGGUGAUAAACCGGAGGAAGGUGGGGACGACGUCAAGUCAUCAUGGCCCUUACGGGAUGGGCUACACACGUGCUACAAUGGCGCACACAAAGGGCAGCAAGCGCGCGAGUGCAAGCGAAUCUCAAAAAGUGCGUCGUAGUCCGGAUUGGAGUCUGCAACUCGACUCCAUGAAGUCGGAAUCGCUAGUAAUCGUGGAUCAGAAUGCCACGGUGAAUACGUUCCCGGGCCUUGUACACACCGCCCGUCACACCAUGGGAGUGGGCUGCACCAGAAGUAGAUAGCUUAACCUUCGGGAGGGCGUUUACCACGGUGUGGUUCAUGACUGGGGUG
RNAcentral lists this ribosomal RNA (658 nucleotides) under uncultured bacterium. RNAcentral's name for it is "bacterial SSU rRNA". It matches the Rfam family "Bacterial small subunit ribosomal RNA", at positions 823 to 1482 of the family's 1533-position model. The record is from RNAcentral.